AUUGAACGCUGGCGGCAGGCCUAACACAUGCAAGUCGGACGGUAGCACAGAGAGCUUGCUCUCGGGUGACGAGUGGCGGACGGGUGAGUAAUGUCUGGGGAUCUGCCCGAUAGAGGGGGAUAACCACUGGAAACGGUGGCUAAUACCGCAUAACGUCGCAAGACCAAAGAGGGGGACCUUCGGGCCUCUCACUAUCGGAUGAACCCAGAUGGGAUUAGCUAGUAGGCGGGGUAACGGCCCACCUAGGCGACGAUCCAUAGCUGGUCUGAGAGGAGGACCAGCCACACUGGAACUGAGACACGGUCCAGACUCCUACGGGAGGCAGCAGUGGGGAAUAUUGGACAAUGGGCGCAAGCCUGAUGCAGCCAUGCCGCGUGUAUGAAGAAGGCCUUCGGGUUGUAAAGUACUUUCGGCGGGGAGGAAGGCGAUGUGGUUAAUAACCGUAUCGAUUGACGUUACCCGCAGAAGAAGCACCGGCUAACUCCGUGCCAGCAGCCGCCGUAA
This 504-nucleotide ribosomal RNA is filed under the name uncultured bacterium. RNAcentral describes it as "partial 16S ribosomal RNA". It matches the Rfam family "Bacterial small subunit ribosomal RNA", at positions 29 to 523 of the family's 1533-position model. The record is from RNAcentral.